Molecule: ribosomal RNA, 423 nt
Filed under: uncultured bacterium
Lineage: Bacteria
Description: partial 16S ribosomal RNA
Rfam family: Bacterial small subunit ribosomal RNA
Source: RNAcentral
GAAUCUUCCGCAAUGGACGAAAGUCUGACGGAGCAACGCCGCGUGAGUGAUGAAGGUUUUCGGAUCGUAAAGCUCUGUUGCCAGGGAAGAACGCUUGGGAGAGUAACUGCUCUCAAGGUGACGGUACCUGAGAAGAAAGCCCCGGCUAACUACGUGCCCGCAGCCGCGGUAAUACGUAGGGGGCAAGCGUUGUCCGGAAUUAUUGGGCGUAAAGCGCGCGCAGGCGGUUCAUUAAGUCUGGUGUUUAAGGCUAGGGCUCAACCCUGGUUCGCACUGGAAACUGUUGAACUUGAGUGCAGAAGAGGAAAGUGGAAUUCCACGUGUAGCGGUGAAAUGCGUAGAGAUGUGGAGGAACACCAGUGGCGAAGGCGACUUUCUGGGCUGUAACUGACGCUGAGGCGCGAAAGCGUGGGGAGCAAACAG